Molecule: ribosomal RNA, 778 nt
Filed under: uncultured Neocallimastigales
Lineage: Eukaryota; Fungi; Neocallimastigomycota; Neocallimastigomycetes; Neocallimastigales
Description: partial large subunit ribosomal RNA
Rfam family: Eukaryotic large subunit ribosomal RNA
Source: RNAcentral
AGAGAGAGACAUGCGCGCAUAUCAAUAAGCGGAGGAAAAGAAACUAACAAGGAUUCCCUUAGUAACGGCGAGUGAGGCGGGAAGAGCUCAAAUUUGAAAUCUUCAAGGUUUUACCUUGACGAAUUGUAGUUUAAAGAAGUGUUUUCUGCUGAAGUUUUGGUAAAAGUUCUUUGGAAUAGGACAUCAUAGAGGGUGAGAAUCCCGUAUUUGACCAUUAUUUUCAGCUUUGUGAUACACUUUCAAAGAGUCGGAUUGUUUGGGAAUGCAGUCCAUAAAUGGGUGGUAAAUUUCAUCUAAAGCUAAAUAUUGGCGAGAGACCGAUAGCGAACAAGUACCGUGAGGGAAAGAUGAAAAGAACUUUGAAAAGAGAGUUAAACAGUACGUGAAAUUGUCAAAAGGGAAGCGUUUGACACCAGUGUUGUUUUCCUCGAAAAUCAAUUAAAAAUGGCUCGAUUUUGUAUUGCUUGAGACCUUAAAAGCUCACUGUACAUUUUUCGUGUCUUUUUUAAUGCACUUUUCGUUUAACAAGUCAACAUCAGUUUCUUUUGUUGUAAAAGGGUCAUUGGAAGGUGGCUUUCCUUUCGGAGAAAGUGUUUAUAGCCUUUGGCCUCUGCAAUCGGAAGAGACUGAGGUCUGCAGCGUAGACUCUUCGGGGUUAGAUACAUUUGUGCUAAGUUAUAGCUUUUUAUAGACAACUUGUUGACUAUAAUUAGUCUUGUAGCUUACUCGCUUAUGCUAUUUUACCUACGCUUAGGAUGUUGAAGAUGUAGCACAUCAU